RNAcentral lists this ribosomal RNA (119 nucleotides) under Pteropus alecto (black flying fox). The record is from RNAcentral. Lineage: Eukaryota; Metazoa; Chordata; Mammalia; Chiroptera; Pteropodidae.
GUCUAUGGUCACGCCACCCUGAACAAGCCCAAUCCCAUCUGAUCUCGGAAGCUAAGCAGGGUUGGGCCUGGUUAGUACUUGGAUGGGAGACCACCUAGGAAGACCAGGUGCUAUAGGCG